Molecule: long non-coding RNA, 508 nt
Organism: Esox lucius (northern pike)
Lineage: Eukaryota; Metazoa; Chordata; Actinopteri; Esociformes; Esocidae
Exons: 3
Source: RefSeq, a predicted model, not a curated record
CUGGAGCACGCUGCACUUCCGGCUUGUGACUGCUGUGAUUUGUCUGCUCGAGCGUCGGAUCUUCGGCUGGCAGGUUCACCCCCCCCUACUCGCCGAAGUAACACAGUAAUGCGAAGCGAGUAGCCCUGUUGUCUGCACGUAGCAUUCUCGGGACGUCUUCCCUCUGGAGCGACUCAAACUCUGCGUAACGUGGCUGAGAGCUGAAGGUGGUGGUAUCUCCCUUCCUGUGUGCUGUGCCUCACCCCUUUUUUAUUUGCUGUGCUCACUGUUUGCGUGUUCACGGGUGACUUUCCCUGAGAUCCUGUUCCAUCCUUGUUCCCUUUCCCCCUCCAUCAGGUAAGCCACAGCCCUAAUUAUUUGUCCCCUAUUGGUGUGAAGGUAUUUUUAAAAUUGAUUGUUUUUAAUCGCAUUGAUUUUGUAAUAAAAAUGUAUACUUUUUUUAAAGUUGAACCUUGUCUUUGGCGCCUUCUUGUAAACUGACCUGUGUGUCCUUAAGCAUUAUAUUGAA